Molecule: long non-coding RNA, 636 nt
Filed under: Ficedula albicollis (Collared flycatcher)
Lineage: Eukaryota; Metazoa; Chordata; Aves; Passeriformes; Muscicapidae
Description: lncRNA (ENSFALG00000027222.1)
Source: RNAcentral
CCCCCCCCCCCCCCCCCCCCCCCCCCCGGAUGUUUGUAGGGAUGGAGCUCAGCCCCCGCAGAGCUCCGCGACCCCUCUGCCCCCGGCAGGUGCUGCGAAUGACCAUCCACGGGCUGGAUGGCGAGGGGACCCCCCAGCAGCUCGCCAUGAGCAAGAAGGAAAGGACCGGGACGUUCGCGGUGCGGGAUGGGCUCAACGCCUCGGCCACCGUGGUGUACGACUACAGCAAGCUGCUGGUCGGCUACAGGUCCUGGCGUCGCCGCGCCUGCUACAUCACCCGCGUGGACAAGGACAACUUCCCGGGGCUGGACGCUGUCACCGAGACCUUCCAGCGGCGCCAGGGUGAGGAGCUUGGGGACAAGGCCGUGGCUCUGGCUGACCGCUCCAUCCUGGGCACCACCAUCAACAUCCUCUGCAGCGCCGUGCCCGUGUUCUGGGCCUAGGGACAGCGACGUGGGGGUGGCGCUGUCCCCCACGCUGCCUUUCAAGCGGGACACCGGGGAAUCUCCUCCUCCUCCUCCUCGUCCCCAUCCCGGGGACAGCCCGGCCCCCCCCCCCCCCCCCCCCCCCCCCCCCCCCCCCCCCCCCCCCCCCCCCCCCCCCCCCCCCCCCCCCCCCCCCCCCCCCCCCCCCCCC